This 428-nucleotide ribosomal RNA is filed under the name Chloroflexota bacterium. Its description in RNAcentral is "Chloroflexi bacterium partial 16S ribosomal RNA". It matches the Rfam family "Bacterial small subunit ribosomal RNA", at positions 356 to 776 of the family's 1533-position model. Lineage: Bacteria; Bacillati; Chloroflexota. The record is from RNAcentral.
UGGGAAUUUUUCACAAAUGGCCCAAGCCCGAUUCAGCCAUGCCGCGGGUUUGAAGAAGGGCUUCGGGUUGUUAAGUACCUUCAGUCGGGAGGGAGGUGGUAAGGUUAAUAACCUUAUCCAUUGACGUUACCGACCAAAGAAGCACCGGCUAACCUCGUGCCAGCAGCCGCGGUAAUACGGAGGGUGCAAGCGUUAAUCGGAAUUACUGGGCGUAAAGCGCACGCAGGCGGUUUGUUAAGUCAGAUGUGAAAUCCCCGGGCUCAACCUGGGAACUGCAUCUGAUACUGGCAAGCUUGAGUCUCGUAGAGGGGGGUAGAAUUCCAGGUGUAGCGGUGAAAUGCGUAGAGAUCUGGAGGAAUACCGGUGGCGAAGGCGGCCCCCUGGACGAAGACUGACGCUCAGGUGCGAAAGCGUGGGGAGCAAACAGG